AAUCAACGCUGGCGGCGUGCCUCAGACAUGCAAGUCGAACGAUUAAAGCUCUCUUCGGAGAGUGCAUAGAGUGGCGCACGGGUGAGUAACACGUAAGUAAUCUACCCUCGAGUGGGGAAUAACGUCCGGAAACGGACGCUAAUACCGCAUAAUGCAGCGGCACCGCAAGGUGACAGUUGUUAAAGGAGAAAUUCGCUUGAGGAGGAGCUUGCGGUAGAUUAGCUAGNGGUAAGGUAAUGGCUUACCAAGGCUACGAUCUAUAACCGGUCUAAGAGGACGGUCGGUCACACUGACACUGAAUAACGGGUCAGACUCCUACGGGAGGCAGCAGUCGGGAAUUUUGGGCAAUGGGGGAAACCCGUGACCCAGCAACGCCGCGUGAAGGAUGAAGUAUUUCGGUAUGUAAACUUCGAAAGAAUAGGAAGAAUUAAUGACGGUACUAUUUAUAAGGUCCGGCUAACUACGUGCCAGCAGCCGCU
Molecule: ribosomal RNA, 479 nt
Filed under: uncultured bacterium
Lineage: Bacteria
Description: bacterial SSU rRNA
Rfam family: Bacterial small subunit ribosomal RNA
Source: RNAcentral